Molecule: long non-coding RNA, 5494 nt
Organism: Mus musculus (house mouse)
Lineage: Eukaryota; Metazoa; Chordata; Mammalia; Rodentia; Muridae
Product: predicted gene 11657
Exons: 2
Source: RefSeq, a predicted model, not a curated record
GCUCUUCAGGGAGGGUGUGCCCCUCCCCCCACCAGCAACAGUUAACUGCCUCCAAGUCCUCUGGGGUAGACCUGGCCAUUCCUAGAAGCAGCUUAGCCUGCCUCACCUGGAGCACCUGGAUCACCACCACACAGGCUUUGUGGGAUCGGAGUCCCUUGAAUUCACACAUGCUGUCCCAGUAUUGGUUUUCCAGACUGUCAGCAAUGCUUCUUAAAGGCAGGGGAUUCUCUGUUCCUGAGAAAACAGUUCCUGGGCAAGCAAGGGCAGAUAGAAAGCAGCAACAAGACCUGUGUCGACGGCCCUUGACCGCCUCUGUUUUAGGACGGAGGUUGUUGCCUAAAAUUGGGAGCAACUGGGAGCGUGAAGUGAUCAUUUCAUUGCCAUUCCUGUUCAUGAACAAGUAGAGGCCCAGGCAAGUUUCUGCUUCUGUUGUGGCUUGUGUUCGUCAAGGUGCAGGGAGUCUUUCUUUUACCAGUCUCUACUGCCCUCUUGUGGUCUUCAGCUCCUGGAGUGAUUGCACCCUGAUGAAGAUCUUUGCCUGGAGAUUUGCCCAAGGUUCAAGCAGAGUCCAGAUAAAUAAUGCAAAGUGGUGUGAAUGAAGUGGUCCAUCUUCCCAGACAGACCUUUACAGAGAUGACAGGAACCACAGACAUGAGAGAGCCAAGUGUCUGCCGGUGUCAGUGGGAGUUUUGAAAUGGCCAGAUGCUUAUAGGAAACUGCAAAGCUCAAAUGAUAAUAGAGCAUUUGUGUCUUCUGAAUGUUCUAAAACCUUCUUCCACACUCAGGCACCGCAAACCACACAACUAAGAGUGGAUCGGAAGAGGCGGGGGAGGCAGUGGGCAUUGUCAGGGACCCCCGAGGGGGCUGAGAGGCAUGGUGUGGGGGAAUGGUGAGAGAUGGUGGUAGUUUUCACACGAGGGCAGGAUUCAAAUGAAAAAGUCAACUCUGGGGUGUUCAGCUAGAAUUGAAGAGCCAGAAGAAGCCGGACCAGAAGAAUCCAAGCAAGUGCCCAAACUGUCCCAGCCAGGCUUGACACUGAAGCUCGCUUUCCUCCGUGGUGGUUUAGAUAGGAAAGAUGAACAGAGAGCUGUACCGUGCCACCCCCACCCUGGUCCUCCCCAAAAGGGGCUCGAACCUGGGUUUUUUUACACAGAGGUCUUUGUUUCUGGUUUUUUUUUUUUUUUUUUUUAUGAGUUUGCCUCUGAAAUGCUGUUCAAUCCACUUGUUCAAUCAGUGAAAUGUAAGGAUUUUCUAAACUCUCUCUAAUUGACAGAAACAAGCAUUUUGAAAAGGAGAGCCAACAACCAUUAAAUUUAGCACAGAACUUCCACAGUGUUCUGUUUUAGUCCAUGUGCAUGGAACAUUUUAAAACCAUCCUGGUUUUUAAAGCCCAGGCAUCCAAUUAUAGCUCUGUGAGACCCCUGCUUCCAGGAUUGGCUGCCAAGGCACUGUUCUGUGUUCUCUGAAGUCUGUGGCCAUCAGCUCACAGGGAAGGAGUGAUGCUGAGCAUGGUUGCUGGACCCUCCCAGUCACAGACUGGAAUGCCACAUAUGGUAUCCUUACUUUCUCUGGGGCCUCAGUUUUGUCGUCUGUAAAAUGGACUGAAAUGUUACCUCAUCAGAGAUGAACUGGAUUUUUAAAUUUCCUAUAUUUUUGUUUGUGAAACUAACUUUUAAUGGCUGAGCUAUUUCUCCAAGUCAGAUCUUUUAUUUCUACUGGACCGCAACUGGGUGUUGCUUCAAUGGCAGUGUCUAGCCAUAGCCAUGACAGGUGGCAAGCAGUAUCAGAAGAGAUUCAGGAUCGUUAGAGAGGAAGAGACGAAGCUUCAGCAGGAAGACUCCCAAUGAGGUAGACACAGAAAGCCAGGCAGUUCGCAGGGUUCUACUGCCAGUGUCGGUCUUCAGAGGAAAGGGGCGGGGGGUUUCUGGAGAAGGAGUUUCAGUGCAAGAGAGAGGUGUAAAUCUAUACCUUUUUCUGUGUGUGUGUGAAGGGGGGCACCAGCCUGGUGCAAGAGACUGCUGGGAGUGGGGGUUACUUUUCUGUGGUGCUCUGGGUUUCGGGGUUCUGGGGAGCCAUGGAAAGUUGAGGUGUAGACUGUGUUGCAGAGUGUAGCAGAGAGGAGGAAGCAGAUCACGAGCAGGCUCAAGGGCGGAGUCCUAGGUCCUCGAGCUGUGACCCAGAGGCUUCGAAAGUGUUUGGGGGACUUUUGCACAGUAGUUCAAGAAAGAGCCAACGGGAUCUUCUAAUGUGUUAUUGUGACCUUCAAGGAUGCUGUGCUGGGGACUGGAACAGUGUGGGGUACAGAAAGGUGACCUCAGAUACAAAAUGGGGCAUGGUGGCAUUGCUUCCUGCACCCCACCCCCACCCCAAGCCAUCAGCUUUGUGCAAAUGUGGCCACUCAGCUAUGGCCCUUGCUGAGACCAAAGACCCUGCUUAUUUCUGUGUGGCCUGUCGGCUGAGAGACACACAGUCUCUGGGGGCAGGCAUGGGCUAGUUGCUGACAGAUUUAUUUUCAGAAAAGCCCACAAGGUAAAGAUUAGUUUGUGGCCAAGCAAGAGCAAAGCCAUGCUGAGGUAGGUGUGUGUGUGUGUGGGUGGGGGUGGGGGUGGGGGUGGGGGGUGACUGCACUCUAGCUUUGCUGAGGUGUCGGGGUGUGUCAUACCCACACUGGUAACAUUCCCUGUCUCGAACAAGCUAGGGUGUUUCUCCUAGGGUCAAUCAUGAAAUGGGCACAAGAAAUACAUAGACUAAGAGCAAAUGGAACACACUUUGGAAGGAGGCUCUGUGGUGUAACACACAACGAGCUGAGCCAUAUGGCCUCUCUGUCCCAGGUGGCGAAGUGGAGCAAACCACCCACCCGCGGCCUAGAUUUGCUGUGGCUUGGGUGUGAACUGUCCCCAGAGGCUCAUGUGUUUGAAUACUUGGUUCCCACUGGUGGCCCUGCUUAGGAAUGAUUUGGAACAUUUAUCAGGGAGAGCUUUGCUGGAGGACAUGGUCAGUGGGGAUGGGCCUAGCCCUACCUCCUCUCUAGUCUCUGUUUCCUGUGCACAGAGGCAAUGUGACCAGUUUCUUUGCCUCUUUCACCAUGCCUACUGCACUGUUUGUUAGGCGUUUUGUUAGAGUGAGGAAGAGGUCUAGCUCUAAGCACCUUUUAUAUUUACUUGCUUAACUGUCCAAGCAGCCUUGCAAGCCUCUCUUCCAUACUGGACUUAGAGUCUGAGGAGAGGCAGGCCAGCCAGAUGACAGAAUGCCAAGGCCACACAGCCUGGCAGUGGCAAAGAUGGGCUUCAGCUUAGGAAUGUGACACUUCCUGCUACUGUACCAUGCUGCUUCCUGGAAUGCCAAGGGAGGUGAGAGUGACCAGCCGCGGAGAGGACCGAUCUCUUCAAAGGGGGUAGCGAGUUGGGAAGAACCUCAGUUUACCUGCUGGGAGGGGGAUCGGGAGAGCUGAUAGCUUUGCUGACUCAUUUUCCCCUUCCCCUUCUUUUAUUAAAGAAUAUUCAUUUAUGUGUGUGUGCCUGCAUGCAUUUAUGUGCAUGUGUGUGUGCCUGCAUGCAUUUAUGUGCAUGUGUGUGUGCCUGCAUGGUUUUAUGUGCAUGUAUGUGUACCUGCAUGCAUUUAUGUGCAUGCGUGUGUGCCUGCAUGCAUUUAUGUGCAUGUGUGUGUGCCUGCAUGCAUUUAUGUGCAUGCGUGUGUGCCUGCAUGCAUUUAUGUGUAUGAUGGGCAUUCAGGUGCCUGUGGGUGGCCAGAGAGGUGCAGGGAGGAAGCUUCUGAGCCGCUUCUCCAGCCUCACCCCUCUCUGGUUCCCUUUUCAGUCAUGUUAGGAAAUACAGCCUUAGGAUUUGAAUAUGACUUCUUUGUAGAAGGGUUGUGUCCAACAUAGUUAGAAGGACAAAGACACACCCCUUAGGCCUGUCACCUCACACAGGUAAAAGGUUUAGGUGGCUCAGAAGGUUCCAUCAGAGUGGCUCAUCCACCGGAAGUGUUUGCAACUAUUUACUCUUAGGAGACAGAAGGGGCUACUCCAAGGGAAGUCCUGUCUGGUAACUUGGUGUAUUCAAACCUCUCCUCCCUGCCCCCCAAAACUGUUUCUCCAAAGAAGCCCAGCAUCGAGAAACAGGCUUUAAAAAGACAGACAGCAGAGGGCAGAGGAGACAGAGCUCUUGAAAAUAACCCUGAAUGGUCCUUACACUCAUCUGCAUACAGCACCAUGAAACAAACGCUGGAGCCUCCCCGACCUAGGUGUCAUUUAGAAUACAGAAAGGGUGGGAGGCAGCAGUCAUUUGAUGACACAUGUGGAUUCAGGCUACCCAAAGGAAGGAGGAUCUUCCUGGAGCUGCCCAGUAGCAGUAGCCCCUAGAGAGGUGUAGAUCCACCUCACCCUUGUUACUUGUUAGAACAGUGAGAAUCCUAGGACCAAGCCACAUGUGGGCAGGCCUGUUCUCACCCUCCUCAGAACAUUUCUGUGCAUUAACAUGUGUUGUAUGGAACAGUUCCACUGUGCCUGUGGAUAUGUUUUGCUAGGCACCAAUCCGUGUGACUGGGUAACAGGGCAUUCUUGUUAGUAUGCAUGUCCAGGAGGGCAUAGCUGGGUUCUCAAUGACUCUACACACUGAUUACUCUUCAGAAGUUAGAAUAAAACAACCCAUACAAGUCUUUUUUUUUUUUUUUUCUUUUCCCAGUUCAAGUUACCCCAGGCCAGGUGACUCUCCACCCACCAAAGGCCCUUGUAAGUCAGCUUGGCCUUGAACUUUGCAUGUAGCCUAUGGUGACCUUGAACUUGUAGGUGACCUUGAGUGCUAGGGUUACAGGCAGGUGCCUCCUCCAUGCCCUGCUCCUUAUCCCAUGCUGUGGAUCAAACCCGGGUGCCACACCCACACACCCACAGCCACACCCACAGCCACACCCACCCACACCCACCCACACCCACCCAUGGAGCAAGUACUCUUCCCUGAGUGACAUCUCCAGCACGUUUCCAUGCUCCUAACAAAAUCCGCUUUCCUGAGGAUGUGGAGGCUCUCAAGGAACUGGAGAUGCCUGAGAUUUUCCCCAGGGAAACAAGCUGGGAGACAGGCAUUGGCCCAUCCUGGUCAACUGAAGGGAAGGUCACCAGGGUUCCCGUCCCUCAGCUCUACACCCCGGGAUAGAAGCCCAUUGUGACUAGAAAGCUUCACCAUCCCAAAUACAUCAGGGACAAUGAACCAAUACCCUCUUAUACAGGGGUGGGGGGGAGGGGGUGGGGGAGGGGGUGGGGGAGGGGGUGGGGAGCUGACUGGAGCAGCCACACAGGCCCAUCGGUGUGAGGUAGCUGCAGAAAGCCUGCAGUUCACAGCCCGGUUCCCACAGCCUGAGUGAGUGAUGGCGUCCCUGAGCCCGAUCGGAUCCAGAGAGGGGAAAAUGGCUGGUUCUCAGCCUUCCUUACACUGUGAUGCGGUCCUUCAACAGCUCUCCACGCUGUAGUGACCCCCCAUCAAUAAAAUUAUUUUUGUUGCUA